AUGUGCAUAAAAUACACUCUUUCCUGGCCAAUCUUUAAAAUGCCUUUAAUAAACUCAAAAUCCUUUCGCAAAAGUAAAAGACACAAACAAAUUCAAACUUCUUUUUCUCGUGUUUUGGAUUUUCAAUUUCAAACUGGAUGUGUUAUUGUCCCUCUAUGCAAUACGACGCGUAAUUCCCCAAGUAUCGGGUUGCACUAUGUCUACUUACUACGAGUCGCGACUAUAGCAUUAUCCGCCUCCGGGCACUUUUCGAGCACAUUAAUUCCUUUCUACUCCAGAUGUGUGAGUCUCCAAAGGUCGAGCUACAGUUAG
This is a non-coding RNA of Vicia faba (fava bean), 312 nucleotides long. The record is from the annotation of a GenBank genome assembly. NCBI's taxonomy places the organism in Eukaryota, Viridiplantae, Streptophyta, Magnoliopsida, Fabales, Fabaceae.